This 294-nucleotide long non-coding RNA is filed under the name Vigna radiata. RNAcentral's name for it is "long non-coding RNA (VRAD_LNC018020)". Lineage: Eukaryota; Viridiplantae; Streptophyta; Magnoliopsida; Fabales; Fabaceae. The record is from RNAcentral.
GGUGGGAAUUGUUUAGAGUGUCGAGCAAGGUCUGACAUUUUGCUUGUUGAUUGAAGCUUGUUGGUGUGCAUUGCUUUCACUAAUCAAAUGAUGAACAUGAGUCAGUAAGGCUUAGGAAUUUGGGUCAGAUGGUAAGGGAGGUAAGUUUAGAGAAGUAGAAAUAACUUCCUGGUAAAGUUUGCUUGAGUUUUUCUUCUUUUCCGGAUUCAAGUGAAGAGGAGUUAACCUGCUUUGUUUGUGUUUGGCUAUCUAUUUCAUGUUGAGUGGAGGAAUUUUAUCCAAUCUUUUCACUAG